This 1427-nucleotide long non-coding RNA is filed under the name Bos mutus (wild yak). RNAcentral's name for it is "lncRNA (ENSBMUG00000001999.1)". The record is from RNAcentral. Lineage: Eukaryota; Metazoa; Chordata; Mammalia; Artiodactyla; Bovidae.
CUUUUCCAUGUGCAUUUCUAAAAUUAUUCAGUCCUGUUUGUCUUUUAUGGAGAGGUGCCUGACCCUCUCUUCACGGUUUAAUAAAACAUUUGAAGUCGUCAUGACACCGCAGCCAAACACCGUCAGGAGGGGAGACGAUGGCAGCAUUUCAAUGAGGGAGGAAAUGAGAAACGAGUCCCCAGAGGACACUUCAUAAGGAGCAGCAAACCUGUCUUUUCAAACAUGCUUCUGAAAACGAGGUUGGCUAUUUUUUUUCCAGCUGGGAUAGUUGGUGAAGGGACAGCGGCUGCCAGACCAGAGGCAGCAGGAGGGAGCCAGGGGAGCUGGACCACGUGGAUCCCGGGAAAGGAAUCAUCCUUACCACCCCAGCCUUGGGGGUCGUUAGGAGUUUACCUGGACACAUCCAGCCUGAGCUGGUGUAUCGGCAUCCUCGGAUUCCUGAUGCAGAAGGAGGAGAAUGAGGAGCUAGUCUGGUGAUACAGCCUUGGAAAGGAAACGAGAAGAAAUACACACGGGGAGCAUCUGAGUUCCUGCGCCAAAUGUGAGUCCUAAUUAUCCUGAGAUAACUCUGACAUCUGCCUCCAGGCCCAGCCCCUCCCAACCCCCCAACCACACAGUGCCUUGCACCUCUUAGGCACUUAAUUAAUGAUAGAUAAACGCAGGCGGGGGGUGUGGUGUCUACGAGUGGAAAACAUACGCAUUUUAGAAUCGGAGUGUGUGAGAGGUGGCGGGGACCUUGGAGACCUUCUAAACCUGUUUCCUCAGGGAUGGGGAAACCAAAGCCCAGAGAAAAUGGGGAGAAACCAGCAAGGUCACAUGACUAGUUUCUAACUGAGUUGGGCUUGGAAUCAUGUUUUCUACAUUUUUCUUUAAAUCUCCCACUCUCUUCAGAUCUGAAAGUGUAAGGACAGUACACAGAACCAACUGUGUGCCCUGAACUCAGGAAAGUCACUCUCAGCAGUGGAAGCUCCUGGUGGUAACAGUGGCCCAGGGAGUAGAGGCCCAGUGCCCAGGACAAGCAGAAGGGUCCCCUCCAAGCAACUGCCCUCUGGAUCACGGUCCUGCCUGGGCUGGGGGACCGGGGUCCCAGGGUCCCGGGGAGGUGGCCCAGGCUACAGCAGUCAGACUCCUGCAGCCCUGCGUGAGGUAGAGGAACACAGAGGUCACGAAGGCAGCCCAGUGGGGGUUGUAUUCCCGCCACUGUGACGGGGUGAUGUGGCGGGCCUCAGGGCAUCACGAGAAACAUGUAAACAAAGCCCCCAGCCACUUCUGAGCCUGAAAGCAAGUCAACACAAGUACUGAAAUGAUGAAUCAGCAGGACAAGGCAUGUGGUGCCCGCUCAUUGGUCAGAUGGAAGGAGGGCCAGGUGGGGCGGGGCAGGAAGCAGGAAGAAGAGAAGGGGCAGGGCUGUCACCGCUGACCCAGAG